CCCUUAGAUGUUCUGGGCUGCACGCGCGCUACACUGAUGCAUGCAACGAGUUUUCGACCUUGCCUGAAAAGGUUGGGUAAUCUGUUUAACAUGUGUCGUGAUGGGGAUAGACCAUUGCAAUUAUUGAUCUUCAACGAGGAAUUCCUAGUAAGCGCGAGUCAUCAGCUCGUGCUGAUUACGUCCCUGCCCUUUGUACACACCGCCCGUCGCUCCUACCGAUUGGGUGAUCCGGUGAAUAAUUCGGACUGCGGCAUUGACCGGUUCCCGAUCGUUGCUGCGGAAAGUUUAGUGAACCUUAUCACUUAGAGGAAGGAGAAGUCGUAACA
RNAcentral lists this ribosomal RNA (326 nucleotides) under uncultured eukaryote. RNAcentral's name for it is "partial 18S ribosomal RNA". It matches the Rfam family "Eukaryotic small subunit ribosomal RNA", at positions 1470 to 1796 of the family's 1831-position model. The record is from RNAcentral.